ACGGGUGAGUAAUGUCUGGGGAUCUGCCCGAUAGAGGGGGAUAACCACUGGAAACGGUGGCUAAUACCGCAUAACGUCGCAAGACCAAAGAGGGGGACCUUCGGGCCUCUCACUAUCGGAUGAACCCAGAUGGGAUUAGCUAGUAGGCGGGGUAAUGGCCCACCUAGGCGACGAUCCCUAGCUGGUCUGAGAGGAUGACCAGCCACACUGGAACUGAGACACGGUCCAGACUCCUACGGAAGGCAGCAGUGGGGAAUAUUGCACAAUGGGCGCAAGCCUGAUGCAGCCAUGCCGCGUGUAUGAAGAGGGCCUUCGGGUUGUAAAGUACUUUCAGCGGGGAGGAAGGCGAUGGGGUUAAUAACCUUAUCGAUUGACGUUACCCGCAGAAGAAGUACCGGCUAACUCCGUGCCAGCAGCCGCGGUAAUACGGAGGGUGCAAGCGUUAAUCGGAAUUACUGGGCGUAAAGCGCACGCAGGCGGUCUGUUAAGUCAGAUGUGAAAUCCCCGGGCUUAACCUGGGAACUGCAUUUGAAACUGGCAGGCUUGAGUCUUGUAGAGGGGGGUAGAAUUCCAGGUGUA
Molecule: ribosomal RNA, 579 nt
Filed under: uncultured Pantoea sp.
Lineage: Bacteria; Pseudomonadati; Pseudomonadota; Gammaproteobacteria; Enterobacterales; Erwiniaceae
Description: bacterial SSU rRNA
Rfam family: Bacterial small subunit ribosomal RNA
Source: RNAcentral